CCUANGGAGGCAGCAGUGAGGAAUUUUGCGCAAUGGGGGAAACCCUGACGCAGCAACGCCGCGUGAGUGAUGAAGGCCUUCGGGUUGUAAAGCUCUGUCGAGUGGGAAGAAGGUAAUGAUCAUGAAUAGUGGUUGUUAUUGACGGUACCAUAGAAGGAAGCACCGGCUAACUCCGUGCCAGCAGCCGCGGUAAUACGGAGGGUGCAAGCGUUAUUCGGAAUUAUUGGGCGUAAAGGGCGCGUAGGCGGUUUACAAAGUCAGCUGUGAAAUCCCUGGGCUUAACCCAGGAAUUGCGUUUGAUACUGGUAGGCUUGAGUAUGGGAGAGGAGAGUGGAAUUCCUGGUGUAGAGGUGAAAUUCGUAGAUAUCAGGAGGAACACCGGUGGCGAAGGCGGCUCUCUGGACCAAUACUGACGCUGAGGCGCGAAGGCGUGGGGAGCAAACAGGAUUAGAUACCCUUNUANUC
Molecule: ribosomal RNA, 465 nt
Filed under: uncultured bacterium
Lineage: Bacteria
Description: bacterial SSU rRNA
Rfam family: Bacterial small subunit ribosomal RNA
Source: RNAcentral